RNAcentral lists this ribosomal RNA (265 nucleotides) under uncultured bacterium. RNAcentral describes it as "partial 16S ribosomal RNA". It matches the Rfam family "Bacterial small subunit ribosomal RNA", at positions 793 to 1055 of the family's 1533-position model. The record is from RNAcentral.
GUCCACGCCAUAAACGAUGAAUACUAGGUGUUGGAGGAUUUAAACCCUUCGGUACCGCAGCUAACGCGUUAAGUAUUCCGCCUGGGGAGUACGACCGCAAGGUUAAAACUAAAAGGAAUUGACGGGGGCCCGCACAAGCAGCGGAGCGUGUGGUUUAAUUCGAUGCAACGCGAAAAACCUUACCUGGAUUUGACGUGUCCGUAGUAGUGAAGCGAAAGCGGAACGACCCUUCGGGGAGCGGAUGCAGGUGCUGCAUGGCUGUCGU